Molecule: ribosomal RNA, 759 nt
Filed under: Neisseria subflava
Lineage: Bacteria; Pseudomonadati; Pseudomonadota; Betaproteobacteria; Neisseriales; Neisseriaceae
Description: bacterial SSU rRNA
Rfam family: Bacterial small subunit ribosomal RNA
Source: RNAcentral
AUUGAACGCUGGCGGCAUGCUUUACACAUGCAAGUCGGACGGCAGCACAGAGAAGCUUGCUUCUUGGGUGGCGAGUGGCGAACGGGUGAGUAACAUAUCGGAACGUACCGAGUAAUGGGGGAUAACUAAUCGAAAGAUUAGCUAAUACCGCAUAUUCUCUGAGGAGGAAAGCAGGGGACCUUCGGGCCUUGCGUUAUUCGAGCGGCCGAUAUCUGAUUAGCUAGUUGGUGGGGUAAAGGCCUACCAAGGCGACGAUCAGUAGCGGGUCUGAGAGGAUGAUCCGCCACACUGGGACUGAGACACGGCCCAGACUCCUACGGGAGGCAGCAGUGGGGAAUUUUGGACAAUGGGCGCAAGCCUGAUCCAGCCAUGCCGCGCGUCUGAAGAAGGCCUUCGGGUUGUAAAGGACUUUUGUCAGGGAAGAAAAGGCUGUUGCUAAUAUCGACAGCUGAUGACGGUACCUGAAGAAUAAGCACCGGCUAACUACGUGCCAGCAGCCGCGGUAAUACGUAGGGUGCGAGCGUUAAUCGGAAUUACUGGGCGUAAAGCGAGCGCAGACGGUUACUUAAGCAGGAUGUGAAAUCCCCGGGCUCAACCUGGGAACUGCGUUCUGAACUGGGUGACUAGAGUGUGUCAGAGGGAGGUAGAAUUCCACGUGUAGCAGUGAAAUGCGUAGAGAUGUGGAGGAAUACCGAUGGCGAAGGCAGCCUCCUGGGAUAACACUGACGUUCAUGCUCGAAAGCGUGGGUAGCAAACAGG